CAGCCGCCACGGUAAUACAGAGGGUGCAAGCGUUAAUCGGAAUUACUGGGCGUAAAGCGCGCGUAGGUGGUUCGCCAAGUUGGAUGUGAAAUCCCCGGGCUCAACCUGGGAACUGCAUCCAAAACUGGCGAGCUAGAGUAUGGUAGAGGGUGGUGGAAUUUCCUGUGUAGCGGUGAAAUGCGUAGAUAUAGGAAGGAACAUCAGUGGCGAAGGCGACCACCUGGACUGAUACUGACACUGAGGUGCGAAAGCGUGGGGAGCAAACAGGAUUAGAUACCCGCGUAGUCCCUGUCUCUUAUAC
This 301-nucleotide ribosomal RNA is filed under the name uncultured bacterium. RNAcentral's name for it is "partial 16S ribosomal RNA". It matches the Rfam family "Bacterial small subunit ribosomal RNA", at positions 509 to 807 of the family's 1533-position model. The record is from RNAcentral.